RNAcentral lists this long non-coding RNA (5394 nucleotides) under Homo sapiens (human). Its description in RNAcentral is "non-protein coding lnc-DPH5-1:6". The record is from RNAcentral. Lineage: Eukaryota; Metazoa; Chordata; Mammalia; Primates; Hominidae.
GCUGAUCCCUGGCUGUGGAGAGGAUUCUCCCGAGCCCCUGAAAAAAAAAAAAGGUGGAGAGACUUUGAAAACUUUUCUCUCGAAAAGUCUGAGGAGGCAGAGGACGGCCCGGAGUCUCGUAGCGCACCGCCCUGGUCCCACACCCCCCGCAGCCCUAGGAGGAUCGGUGUGCUGAGCUUGUGGCCAGGAGCUCCCCGAGCCACUUUCGCGCGAGCAGCAGAAAACCUGAGCCGCGGCCCGGCGAGUGUCGGCGGCGCUCUGGGGAGGAGAGGCUGGGAAGGGGCUGCGAGAGGUACGGAGGAGACAAGCAGCCCGGGAGGGAGAAUGAACCGGGAGGUUCCUGUACUCCCCCCGCCACCCCAGAUCCUCGUGCUACUCGCAACUGCGGUCUGAGGGGCAGUGGCUUUCCCAGAGUGCACAGAGAAAUGAACCAGCGCCGGUUUUGGUGUUGGGCGAGGGGUUUCCCUCAGCUGAGCACAAAGUCAGGCUGUGUGUCCCAGAUUCUGGCCAAUGGAGAGGUCGUUGAGGGGGUGGGCUGCUGCUGAGUCCUGAGAGAUUCAAAACGCCUGGGCAGCUCAGGAAUUUCCAAAGGGGGAGAUUCUCGGCCAGGAGCUGCGGAGCAACUGCAGCUGCCCAGCAGGAGCCGGCACCCUUCUCUCACAUUCUGCUUGGGAGUCGACUCAGAGGCCUCAAAUCUCAUUACUAGCACUUUGCCCACCCUUUUCUUUUGCUUAGAUGCUACUUAAGAACGUGAGGCUGAGAGGCGGACUUGGUCAGAUCUGCCUGCGUGACAAGCUCAGGACAGGACGCUUCUGCCCUUGCAUUACUGUUGUAAAAGUUUCCACCCAGUCCCUGGUCGCACUGCGUUCCCAUCCCGGCAGAUGUGAACUCAAAAACUUCCUCCGCUGUGCAGUUUCAAUUGGCAGACACACCCUGUACCUGAAUGACUCAGAAGGAGGCAGAAUGAACAAACAACAGACCCCUGACUUCUGGGAUUUUGUGAGUUUGCCAAAAAAAAAAAAAAAAGAAGUGACAGUUAAUUCACAGCUGUUUUAAAGCAUUCAUCGACAGCGACGCACCCAAUACAUACCCACAGCUUCAACAACAGUACAGUGCAUAUAAUGUGGAAACCAAGAUAACGGUCCUCUAAGACUCCAGAGUAGAUCCUAAUUGGAUUUGAAGACUUAUUUCACUUAAAGGGGAAGAGGUAUAUUGUGUCUACCCAGCACAACAAAACGGGGGACUUGGCAUUCCCCCCCUUCUCCCGCCUCCACCCACACUAAUUUAUGCAUUCUUUAAAGCCAAAGGAAUCAAAGUGAAAUUUCACACCUAGUCUGUAUCAAGCAUGUGCUAGGUUAAUUUAACCUUACUGCUCUGUGAAGUAAGUAAGCAUUGCUGGCCAUUUUAUUGUUGAGAGAAGUGUCAUUCAGACAACUAAGGUGACUUGUAGAUUUCCCAGCUAGUGAGUGGCAGAGCUGGGUUCCAAAACCUAAAUAUUGCAAAUGCCUUGCCUUGUGGCUCAAACGCUAUCAGUCAAUAAAUAGUUAAGGAAUUGAAAUAUAUGUUCCUAGAGGGAAACAGACUUCUAGAUUUAAAGUUUUACAUUUGCUGCAUUUCUGACUGUACAAGUCUACAAAAUGCAUAUAAAAGUAUGCUAAUGAAUGUCCUUUUAAAACCACUCAUUUUCUACGUAAGCAUACAAAGUGUAUACAUAUGCAUAUUAAUGAAUGUUUUCUGAAACUUCUCAUUGUCUGCCUAUGAUAUCUCAUGUAACAUUGUACUUUUAGUAUUUGCACAUAGUGUUACACAUAUUAAUCCAUUUAAUCUGACAAGUUAGGCACUAUAAUUAUUCUAAUUUUACAAACAAGGAAAUUGACUCCCAGACAUAUUAAGCAGCUUGCUUAAUGUGGGACAGGCUGCAGACUCUUAACCACUACUCCAGACCACCAUGAUAAACCUCAAACAGGUUCAAGAAUUUCCUUGGGGAUAUCAGUUGUUUUCUUGUGAAUACCACUGGUUUUUAACAUUCAAUAUUGAUAAAGUGUUUUACAGAGUCCAAAAACCUUUCAGAUUGUUAUUUAAUAAUAUUCAUCUUUAGUACACACCUAUGAGAUGUAAUUGUAGAUGAUCAACUUAGGUAAAAUUAGAUAGUAGGCAAAUGUUUCCAGCAAUGGCGUCCUGGCCAAUUCCAAGUCUCUAGUUCCCAUAUAAGUCUCUUCCCAUUGCUCUCCAAGGAGGCCCUAAAAAUUGCAUUCUCAAGCUAUCUCCUGACUGCCAGUACAACUCCCUGUCUGCUGCUGCCUAGAAGUCAAGCCCAACAUUCCUACCUUAAGUUUGCUCCAUUUCCAAUUUUUGAUUUCAAAGUGGCUUUGUUGUUCUUUACACAUGCUUUAGUGUUUCUCUUUAAAAGUUUACAGAUAAAAUACCACACAAUCUUUGGAGCAUACACUAAACAAAAAUUUGUCAUAAAUGUGCCAUUCAAAUGUAACUGUGUGAGCUAUCUUUUUUUUUUUUUUUUUUUUUUGAGACAGAAUCUCACUCUAUUGCCCAGGCUGGAGUCCAGUGGCGUGAUCUCAGCUCACCGCAACCUCCGCCUCCCAGGUUCAAGCAAUUCUCCUACCUCAGCCUCCUGAAUAGCUGGGAUUACAGGCAUGCACCACCACACCCAGCUAGUUUUGUAUUUUUAGUAGAGAUGGGGUUUCACCAUGUUGUCCAGGCUGGUCUCGAACUCCUGACUUCAGGCGAUCCACCUGCCUUGGCCUCCCAAGGUGCUGGGAUUACAAGCAUGAGCCACCGAGCCCAGCCAUGAGCUAUAUUUUUUAUCUGCUAAAUAUUGCAACUCUACUCUUUUCCCUUUCCUUUUUUUUUUUCUUUUUUUCAACUGAGACAGGGUCUGGCUCUGCUCUGUCAUCCAGGCUGGAGUGCAGUGGCGAAAUCAUAGCUCACUGCAGCCUUGAUCUCCCGCCCUCAAAGGAUCCGCCUACUUCAGCCUCCCAAGCAGCUGGGACUACAGGCACCAGUCACCAUGUCCUGAUAAUUAUUAUUUUUAUUUUUUGUAUAGACAGGAGUCUCACUUUGUUGCCCAGGGUGAUCUUGAACUCCUGCGCUCAAGCAGUCCUCCCACCUUGGACUCUCAAAGUGCUGGGAUUACAAGCCUGAGCCUUACUCUCUUUCCUAAUUGCUCCAGUCACUUUCCAACUCCCUUUUCUCCCCUCUUCCCUCCCCUGACCCAGUCACUGGUAAAAAUCCAGGCUUUCCCUUACUUGUCUAUUCACAGGAGAAUAACUAGCCUCUUAUUUCAAGGAGGAAAUAGUAUGACCAUCUCAAUUUCCCUCCUCUCCAAGCUCCAGCUUAAUAGCAACUUUACCCACCCUUACCUCCUUCCCACCUGUUUCAGAAAUAAAAGCAACUUUACUCCUUUCCAAGGCAAACUCUUGCCCAGGUCAGCAUGCUGCUUCCUCCAAACUUUCUGAGACUUGGCUCAAUUAUUCUUAUUCUCCCUUGUACUUUCAGUUCUUAGCUUCUGAGGACUCUUUACUUUCAACUUACAUAAAUGUUUAUGUGUUUUCUCUACCAAAAACUCUUUCUUCCCUUCAUCCUAGGUCCCAAUAUCUCUCUCUCCUCGUUUGCCAACAUUCAAAAUUAGUGGAACAUGACUGAGCCUUGGAACAGACACUUAGGUUCAGCCUUGAUAUUGCCAGUUCUAAGCUAUGUGACUUUAGGCAAGUUCUUUUAACUUCCUUGAACCUCAGUGUCCUCAUCUGUAAAAUGAAAUAAUGAUAUUUGCCUCUUUCAUUGUGAGGAUUAAGGAGCUACAUACCUGUGAGAAUUCCCUACACUACAGAGAAAAUGCUUCACCCAUCCACCACCUCCAUCUUUUAUUAUUAUUAUUAUUAUUAUUAUUAUUAUUUUACUUUAAGUUCUGGGGCACAUGUGCAGAAUGUGCAGGUUUGUUACAUAGGUAUACACGUGCCAUGGUGGUUUGCUGCACCCGUCAAUCCGUCACCUACAUUAGGUAUUUCUCCUAAUGCUAUCUCUCCCCUAGCCCCCCACCCCCAACAGGCUCCAGUGUGUGAUGUUCCCCUCCCUGUGUCCAUGUGUUCUCAUUGUUCAAUACCCACUUAUGAGUGAGAACAUGCAGUGUUUGGUUUUCUGUUGUUGUGUUAGUUUGCUGAGAAUGAUGAUUUCCAGCUUCAUCCAUGUCCCUGCAAAGGACAUGAACUCAUCCUUUAUUAUGCCUGCAUAGUAUUCCAUGGUGUAUAUGUGCCACAGUUUCCUUUUCCAGUCCAUCAUUGGUGGACAUUUGGGUUGGUUCCAAGUCUUUGCUAUUGUGAAUAGUGCCACAAUAAACAUAUGUGUGCAUGUGUCUUUAUAGUAGAAUGAUUUAUAAUCCUUUGGGUAUAUACCCAGUAAGGGAAUUGCUGGGUCAAAUGGUAUUUCUAGUUCUAGAUCCUUGAGGAAUCGCCACACUGUCUUCCACAAUGUUGAACUAAUUUAUACUCCCACCAACAGUGUAAAAGCGUUCCUAUUUCUCCACAUCCUCUUCAGCAUCUGUUGUUUCCUGACUUUUUAAUGAUCACCAUUCUAACUGGCAUGAGAUGGUAUCUCAUUGCGGUUUUGAUUUGCAUUUCUCUAAUGACCAGUGAUUAUGAGGUUUUUUCAUAUGUUUGUUGGCUGCAUGAAUGUUGUCUUUUGAGAAGUGUCUGUUCAUAUCCUUUGCCCACUUUUUGAUAGGGUUGUUUGGUUUUUUCUUGUAAAUUUGUUUAAGUUCUUUAUAGAUUCUGGAUAUUAACCCUUUGUCAGAUGCAUAGAUUGCAAAAUUUUUCUCCCCUUAUAUAGGUUGCCUGUUCACUCUGAUGAUAGUUUCUUUUGCUAUGCAGAAGCUCUUUAGUUUAAUUAGAUCCCAUUUGUCAAUUUUGGCUUUUGUUGCCAUUGCUUUUGGUGUUUUAGACAUGAAGCAUUUGCCCAUGACUAUGUCCUGAAUGGUAUUGCCUAGGUUUUCUUCUAGGAUUUUUCUUGUUUUAGGUCUUACGUUUAGGUCUUUAAUCCAUCUUGAGUUAAUUUUUGUAUAAGGUGUAAGGAAGGGGUCCAGUUUCAGUGUUCUGCAUAUGGCUAGCCAGUUUUCCCAGCACCAUUUAUUAAAUAGGGAAUCCUUUCUCCCUUUCUUGUUUUUAUCAGGUUUGUCAAAGAUCAGAUGGCUGUAGAUGUGUGGUGUUAUUUCUGAGGCCUCUGUUCUGUUGCGUUGGUCUAUAUAUCUGUUUUGGUACCAGUACUAUACUGUUUUGGUUACUGUAGCCUUGUAGUAUAGUUUGAAGUCAGGUAGCAUGAUGCCUCCAGCUUUGUUCUUUUUGCUUAGGAUUGUCUUGGCUAUGUGGGCUCUUUUUUGAUUCCAUA